Molecule: regulatory RNA element, 165 nt
Organism: Paenibacillus naphthalenovorans
Lineage: Bacteria; Bacillati; Bacillota; Bacilli; Caryophanales; Paenibacillaceae
Rfam family: Ribosomal protein L10 leader
About the family: This family is a putative r-protein leader autoregulatory structure found in B. subtilis and other low-GC Gram-positive bacteria. It is located in the 5' untranslated regions of mRNAs encoding ribosomal proteins L10 and L12 (rplJ-rplL).
Source: Rfam
AACAAACGAAUAUGCUUACCGUAGACAGCAGGUGCUCCUACCCAUGGGCUUAAUUUCCUGCCGAGGUGUUAUGAUAUAAAUUCGGUAUUCUUUGCUUAACAGCUCAAGAAUAUGUGAAUCAUCAUGCCUUCGCUUUCGUCUGCGAAGGCAUUUUCGCUUUUAUGC